Syngnathoides biaculeatus (alligator pipefish) is the source of this 1336-nucleotide long non-coding RNA. RefSeq lists it as uncharacterized. NCBI's taxonomy places the organism in Eukaryota, Metazoa, Chordata, Actinopteri, Syngnathiformes, Syngnathidae. The transcript has 4 exons. The record is from RefSeq and is a predicted model, not a curated record.
CUUGGUUGCUACACCUUCUUCUUUUUUUUUUGUUUUCUUUUGUUUGCAAGCAUAAUUUCAGGAGGGCAUCCUUGAGUCUUCCCGCGGAGCACACAAGCGGUCUGCCCUCACAUCUGGAAAGCAUGCAUCGCGCUGUAUUAUUUUAAGCUUCAAACAACUUAGCAGACACUCCCACUCAACAAGUGAAUUGGGAACUGCGGUUUGCAGGCCAACCGCAACUUUCCAACAUAAGAACUUUGAAUGAUGUCCCCCAGACUAAUUUUGCCUUCGUGUUGUUUUUCUUUAGGCACCUCUGCCACACUGUUGAAUAUGUUGGAGCUCACGUUUCACCACGUGUGAGCCAACAGUUACCUCCCGUUCUGCUCUGUAAUUUGGAAAGUGUACACAAUUCUGAAUUUUGUUCAUUUCAAGAAGCAGAAAAAUUAGUUUAUAAACCUUUUGCUAAAAUAACAAGGGUCUGGUCUUUUCUUCCUUGCAGGUCUGGAGACAGAAGCAAUUGCCAAAGGCGGAGUUUCCUUUUCUACUGGGAGGUCAGCCACAAUACUGUCAGAGAGAUAGUGUAUUUCACUCACAUAGCUGCCAGUGGUGAGCGUCCUGGGCUGCUGUCACUGUCGUUGCUGUUUCCAUGGUCCAUCGCUCCAUUCAUUUCUUCACGGAUGGCGUUUGCCAAGGAGUUGAGGGUGGGACUUCCAAUGGAAGCAGUUGUGUAUAGAGCAGAGAAAUGUGUAACAAGAAAUUCCUGGGAGAUGUGGUUGCAUUCAUUGAACCUUUACUCGUAAGGUUUUCAUUGGGCGUUACGCUCCUUCACAAGUGUCAAUUCACCAGUCACCCAGUCAAGCAAGACAUCCAGGCACGAGAUGUUGACUGUGACUGCAGAGACAAGUGCACAUGUCGCCUGCGCACAUCAAUAGGCCCCUGUAAAUAAAUGAUCCAAGCUUCGCAGCGUGAUGAGAGACAGGACUCCUGCAUGUGUUUUGUGCAUUUAUGUACGUGUGGGUGUGCGCGAUGAUCUUUGGCUCUUGGAGCGAUAAAAAGAGCUGUCAUUCAGACAGAUACAUGGUCCCUGGCAUGACAGAAUAGCCCAUCCCCUUAAAAUGCCAAGUGUUAAGCUCUUGUCUCUGUAUGAUGAGGUUUAGACUUUAUGGCAUUUGGCAUGUGAUAAAUAAAUGUAGUUAGUAACUUCAAUGAAUGGGUCACGGUCAUCCUUUUUGUAAAACAGUAUAUGUAAUUUAUUCUACAUCAAUAUCUAAUAUAUAGAAACAUUAUUCUAUUGCAUCAUCUAUUAUGUAAGAGUUUAUUUUUUAAUAUGUAAUCUUAUUUUGCAAUAUAUGUAAUG